UGGGGAAUAUUGCACAAUGGGCGAAAGCCUGAUGCAGCGACGCCGCGUGAGGGAUGACGCCCUUCGGGUUGUAAACCUCUUUCAGCAGGGACGAAGCGCAAGUGACGGUACCUGCAGAAGAAGCACCGGCUAACUACGUGCCAGCAGCCGCGGUAAUACGUAGGGUGCAAGCGUUGUCCGGAAUUACUGGGCGUAAAGAGUUCGUAGGCGGUUUGUCGCGUCGUUUGUGAAAACCAGCAGCUCAACUGCUGGCUUGCAGGCGAUACGGGCAGACUUGAGUACUGCAGGGGAGACUGGAAUUCCUGGUGUAGCGGUGAAAUGCGCAGAUAUCAGGAGGAACACCGGUGGCGAAGGCGGGUCUCUGGGCAGUAACUGACGCUGAGGAACGAAAGCGUGGGUAGCGAACAGG
RNAcentral lists this ribosomal RNA (409 nucleotides) under bacterium. RNAcentral's name for it is "partial 16S ribosomal RNA". It matches the Rfam family "Bacterial small subunit ribosomal RNA", at positions 355 to 776 of the family's 1533-position model. The record is from RNAcentral.